UACGUAGGGUGCAAGCGUUGUCCGGAAUUAUUGGGCGUAAAGAGCUUGUAGGCGGUUUGUCGCGUCUGCUGUGAAAAUCCGGGGCUCAACCCCGGACUUGCAGUGGGUACGGGCAGACUGGAGUGUGGUAGGGGAGACUGGAAUUCCUGGUGUAGCGGUGGAAUGCGCAGAUAUCAGGAGGAACACCGAUGGCGAAGGCAGGUCUCUGGGCCACUACUGACGUUGAGAAGCGAAAGCAUGGGGAGCGAACAGG
This 253-nucleotide ribosomal RNA is filed under the name uncultured bacterium. Its description in RNAcentral is "partial 16S ribosomal RNA". It matches the Rfam family "Bacterial small subunit ribosomal RNA", at positions 524 to 776 of the family's 1533-position model. The record is from RNAcentral.